ACGUGGGUGAUCUGCCCUGCACUUUGGGAUAAGCCUGGGAAACUGGGUCUAAUACCGAAUAGGACCGCAUGCUUCAUGGUGUGUGGUGGAAAGCUUUUGCGGUGUGGGAUGGGCCCGCGGCCUAUCAGCUUGUUGGUGGGGUAAUGGCCUACCAAGGCGACGACGGGUAGCCGGCCUGAGAGGGUGUCCGGCCACACUGGGACUGAGAUACGGCCCAGACUCCUACGGGAGGCAGCAGUGGGGAAUAUUGCACAAUGGGCGCAAGCCUGAUGCAGCGACGCCGCGUGGGGGAUGACGGCCUUCGGGUUGUAAACCUCUUUCAGUAUCGGCGAAGCUCCAGGAUUUUUCUUGGGGUGACGGUAGGUACAGAAGAAGCACCGGCCAACUACGUGCCAGCAGCCGCGGUAAUACGUAGGGUGCGAGCGUUGUCCGGAAUUACUGGGCGUAAAGAGCUCGUAGGUGGUUUGUCACGUUGUCCGUGAAAACUCACAGCUUAACUGUGGGCGUGCGGGCGAUACGGGCAGACUGGAGUACUGUAGGGGAGACUGGAAUUCCUGGUGUAGCGGUGGAAUGCGCAGAUAUCAGGAGGAACACCGGUGGCGAAGGCGGGUCUCUGGGCAGUAACUGACGCUGAGGAGCGAAAGCGUGGGGAGCGAACAGGAUUAGAUACCCUGGUAGUCCACGCCGUAAACGGUGGGUACUAGGUGUGGGUUUCC
RNAcentral lists this ribosomal RNA (716 nucleotides) under Mycobacterium sp. RNAcentral describes it as "bacterial SSU rRNA". It matches the Rfam family "Bacterial small subunit ribosomal RNA", at positions 115 to 831 of the family's 1533-position model. Lineage: Bacteria; Bacillati; Actinomycetota; Actinomycetes; Mycobacteriales; Mycobacteriaceae. The record is from RNAcentral.